RNAcentral lists this ribosomal RNA (440 nucleotides) under uncultured bacterium. RNAcentral describes it as "partial 16S ribosomal RNA". It matches the Rfam family "Bacterial small subunit ribosomal RNA", at positions 338 to 795 of the family's 1533-position model. The record is from RNAcentral.
CCUACGGGCGGCAGCAGUGGGGAAUAUUGCACAAUGGGGGAAACCCUGAUGCAGCAACGCCGCGUGAAGGAAGACGGUUUUCGGAUUGUAAACUUCUGUUCUUAGUGAAGAAUAAUGACGGUAGCUAAGGAGCAAGCCACGGCUAACUACGUGCCAGCAGCCGCGGUAAUACGGAGGAUGCGAGCGUUAUCCGGAUUUAUUGGGUUUAAAGGGUGCGCAGGCGGAAGAUCAAGUCAGCGGUAAAAUUGAGAGGCUCAACCUCUUCGAGCCGUUGAAACUGGUUUUCUUGAGUGAGCGAGAAGUAUGCGGAAUGCGUGGUGUAGCGGUGAAAUGCAUAGAUAUCACGCAGAACUCCGAUUGCGAAGGCAGCAUACCGGCGCUCAACUGACGCUCAUGCACGAAAGUGUGGGUAUCGAACAGGAGUAGAUACCCGAGUAGUC